AUUCAAUGUCUCAUCUUUCGCUCACUUUUUUCUCUGUAUAUGUGGCUUCUCCUCCACCGCAUCCCCACCUUCUCUUGACCUCAGAUCGCGUUUUUCAAUUCAUCUUUCUUUUUGUAAACCAGAUCACUGUCAGAGAGAAUAAGCAGAGAGUUGUGAAGAGAAUGAUGAUAGUGCUGCCGAUCGCUUCUGAAUCUGUGAUUUUCAUUCUAGAAAAAUAUUAGAGAUUGGAGGGUGUAUAUGACAGC
RNAcentral lists this long non-coding RNA (245 nucleotides) under Populus trichocarpa (black cottonwood). RNAcentral describes it as "long non-coding RNA (PTRI_LNC004651)". Lineage: Eukaryota; Viridiplantae; Streptophyta; Magnoliopsida; Malpighiales; Salicaceae. The record is from RNAcentral.